GAGUUUGAUCGUGGCUCAGGACGAACGCUGGCGGCGCGCUUAACACAUGCAAGUCGAGCGAGAACCAGUCCUUCGGGACUGGGACGAGCGGCGAACGGGUGGAGUAACACGUGAGUAAUCCACCCUCGGUACCGGAAUAGCCCGGGGAAACUCGGAUUAAUGCCGGAUGGCCCAUUCACCUCUCGAGGUGACUGGAAAAGAUAGCUUCGGCCUUCGACCGGGGACGAGCUCGCGGCGGAUUAGCUUGUUGGCGGGGUAAUGGCCCACCAAGGCGACGAUCCGUAGCUGGUCUGAGAGGACGAUCAGCCACACUGGGACUGAGACACGGCCCAGACUCCUACGGAGGCAGCAGUGGGGAAUCUUGCGCAAUGGGCGAAAGCCUGACGCAGCGACGCCGCGUGAGGGAAGAAGGCCUU
This 416-nucleotide ribosomal RNA is filed under the name uncultured bacterium. RNAcentral's name for it is "bacterial SSU rRNA". It matches the Rfam family "Bacterial small subunit ribosomal RNA", at positions 9 to 418 of the family's 1533-position model. The record is from RNAcentral.